CAUUAUCAGCUCAUGCUUCAGCGCUCUGCGAGUGUUUAUAGUCCUGUGACUUUAACACUUCAUGACUGAGAGCUGCUGCUCAGCGACUUCACCCACAGCAACCAUGAGUUUGAUCAGCGUCUUCAUCUGCACACUGGCCCUCUGCGCUCGAGGAUCCAGAGGUCAGGUGACUGUGACUCAGAGUCCUGCAGUGAAAUCUGUUUCUCCAGGAGACACACUCACCAUCAGCUGUAAAACCAGUCCUGCUGUUUACUAUAAUGGUGCUUAUUAUUAUUUGUCCUGGUAUCAGCAGAAAGCUGGAGAAGCUCCUAAACUCCUGAUCUAUCGUGCUAACAGUAGAGUAUCAGGUAUUCCAGCUCGUUUCAGUGGCAGUGGAUCUGGAUCUGAUUUCACUCUGACCAUCAGUGGAGUCCAGACUGAAGAUGCUGGAGAUUAUUACUGUCAGAGUUACCAUGAGAUCAGUAGUAGCUGGGUGUUCACACAGUGUUAGAGCGUCGUACAAAAACCUGGGUGU
Non-coding RNA from Neoarius graeffei (lesser salmon catfish), 514 nucleotides. The record is from the annotation of a RefSeq genome assembly. Lineage: Eukaryota; Metazoa; Chordata; Actinopteri; Siluriformes; Ariidae.